AGAGUUUGAUCCUGGCUCAGGAUAAACGCUGGCGGCGUGCUUAACACAUGCAAGUCGAACGAAGUUUUUCUUUCGGGAGAAACUUAGUGGCGGACGGGUGAGUAACGCGUGGGUAACCUGCCCUGUACAGGGGGACAACAGCUGGAAACGGCUGCUAAUACCGCAUAAGCCCUUAGCACUGCAUGGUGCAUAGGGAAAAGGAGUAAUCCGGUACAGGAUGGACCCGCGUCUGAUUAGCCAGUUGGCAGGGUAACGGCCUACCAAAGCAACGAUCAGUAGCCGAUCUGAGAGGAUGUACGGCCACAUUGGGACUGAGACACGGCCCAGACUCCUACGGGAGGCAGCAGUGGGGAAUAUUGCACAAUGGGGGAAACCCUGAUGCAGCGACGCCGCGUGGAGGAAGAAGGUCUUCGGAUUGUAAACUCCUGUCGUUGGGGACGAUAAUGACGGUACCCAACAAGAAAGCCACGGCUAACUACGUGCCAGCAGCCGCGGUAAAACGUAGGUGGCAAGCGUUGUCCGGAAUUACUGGGUGUAAAGGGAGCGCAGGCGGAAGGACAAGUUGGAAGUGAAACCCACGGGCUCAACCCGUGAACUGCUUUCAAAACUGUUUUUCUUGAGUGGUGUAGAGGUAGGCGGAAUUCCCGGUGUAGCGGUGGAAUGCGUAGAUAUCGGGAGGAACACCAGUGGCGAAGGCGGCCUACUGGGCACUAACUGACGCUGAGGCUCGAAAGCAUGGGUAGCAAACAGGAUUAAAUACCCUGGUAGUCCAUGCCGUAAACGAUGAUUACUAGGUGUGGGAGGAUUGACCCCUUCCGUGCCGCAGUUAACACAAUAAGUAUUCCACCUGGGGAGUACGGCCGCAAGGUUGAAACUCAAAGGAAUUGACGGGGGCCCGCACAAGCAGUGGAGUAUGUGGUUUAAUUCGACGCAACGCGAAGAACCUUACCAAGUCUUGACAUCCUGCGACGGUGCUGGAAACAGUACUUUCCUUCGGGACGCAGAGACAGGUGGUGCAUGGUUGUCGUCAGCUCGUGUCGUGAGAUGUUGGGUUAAGUCCCGCAACGAGCGCAACCCUUACUGUCAGUUACUACGCAAGAGGACUCUGGCAGGACUGCCGUUGACAAAACGGAGGAAGGUGGGGAUGACGUCAAAUCAUCAUGCCCUUUAUGACUUGGGCUACACACGUACUACAAUGGCGUUAAACAAAGAGAAGCAAGACCGCGAGGUGGAGCAAAACUCAGAAACAACGUCCCAGUUCGGACUGCAGGCUGCAACUCGCCUGCACGAAGUCGGAAUUGCUAGUAAUCGUGGAUCAGCAUGCCACGGUGAAUACGUUCCCGGGCCUUGUACUCACCGCCCGUCA
Molecule: ribosomal RNA, 1366 nt
Filed under: uncultured bacterium
Lineage: Bacteria
Description: bacterial SSU rRNA
Rfam family: Bacterial small subunit ribosomal RNA
Source: RNAcentral